AGGACGAACGCUGGCGGCGUGCCUAAAACAUGCAAGUCGAACGGGGGAGCAAUCCCUAGUGGCGAACGGCGGAGUAAUACAUGAGAAACGUGCCCUGAAGCCUGGGAUAGUCAUUGGAAACGAUGGGUAAUACCAGAUGUGGCGGACAAUCGGCAUCGAUAGUCCACUAAACGGUUUUUCGCUUCAGGAGCGUCUCAUGGCCUAUCAGGUAGUUGGUGAGGUAACGGCUCACCAAGCCGACGACGGGUAGCGGGUCUCAGAGGAUGAUCCGCUCGAGUGGGACUGAGACACGGCCCACACACCUACGGGUGGCAGCAGUUGGGAAUCUUGCACAAUGGGGGAAACCCUGAUGCAGCGACGCCGCGUGGAGGAUGAAGGGUCUAGGCCUGUAAACUCCUUUUAUCGGGAAAGACUUAGGACGGUACCCGAUGAAUAAGGACCGGCUAACUACGUGCCAGCAGCCGC
This 465-nucleotide ribosomal RNA is filed under the name uncultured bacterium. RNAcentral describes it as "SSU rRNA". It matches the Rfam family "Bacterial small subunit ribosomal RNA", at positions 26 to 518 of the family's 1533-position model. The record is from RNAcentral.